UCACUCUAAAUAAAAGGCCACCUUUUGAGCUCUUCCCAUUCCAUAGCAUCCAGUUGCCGUUAAACAAGACUAUUCCUCAUUUAAUAGGCAGCUUGUAUAUUAAUUUCUGGUUUAACAACCAGUACUUGCAGCCUCUGUAUAUGAUUCUGCAGAGACCUUCGGGGUGACUCCUGAGAAAAGAGAAGCCAAUGGAAAAAAGUGUUAAAAUUUCACCCAUCCUGCUGAGAAGAGGCUUUAUGUUCCUACAGAGAUGCAGUAUGAAGGAAUCUCUAAAAAUAUAUUGGCCUGGACAGGCUGGCUCAGCUCUCCCCAGGCUGUUGUUUGA
This is a long non-coding RNA of Pseudopipra pipra, 325 nucleotides long. RefSeq lists it as uncharacterized. The record is from RefSeq and is a predicted model, not a curated record. The transcript is spliced from 2 exons. NCBI's taxonomy places the organism in Eukaryota, Metazoa, Chordata, Aves, Passeriformes, Pipridae.